RNAcentral lists this ribosomal RNA (468 nucleotides) under uncultured bacterium. RNAcentral describes it as "partial 16S ribosomal RNA". It matches the Rfam family "Bacterial small subunit ribosomal RNA", at positions 28 to 507 of the family's 1533-position model. The record is from RNAcentral.
GACGAACGCUGGCGGCGUGCUUAACACAUGCAAGUCGAACGGAAAGGCCCUGCUUUUGUGGGGUGCUCGAGUGGCGAACGGGUGAGUAACACGUGAGUAACCUGCCCUUGACUUUGGGAUAACUUCAGGAAACUGGGGCUAAUACCGGAUAGGAGCUCCUGCUGCAUGGUGGGGGUUGGAAAGUUUCGGCGGUUGGGGAUGGACUCGCGGCUUAUCAGCUUGUUGGUGGGGUAGUGGCUUACCAAGGCUUUGACGGGUAGCCGGCCUGAGAGGGUGACCGGCCACAUGGGGACUGAGAGACGGCGCAGACUCCUACGGGAGGCAGCAGUGGGGAGUAUUGCACAAUGGGCGGAAGCCUGAUGAAGCAACGCCGCGUGCGGGAUGACGGCCUUCGGGUUGUAAACCGCUUUCGCCUGUGACGAAGCGUGAGUGACGGUAAUGGGUAAAGAAGCACCGGCUAACUACGUG